This 253-nucleotide ribosomal RNA is filed under the name uncultured bacterium. Its description in RNAcentral is "partial 16S ribosomal RNA". It matches the Rfam family "Bacterial small subunit ribosomal RNA", at positions 524 to 776 of the family's 1533-position model. The record is from RNAcentral.
UACGUAGGUGACAAGCGUUGUCCGGAUUUACUGGGCGUAAAGAGCGCGCAGGCGGUCGUUCAAGUCGGGUGUGAAACCCCCCGGCUCAACUGGGGAGGGUCAUUCGAUACUGCUCGACUCGAAGGCAGGAGAGGGAAGUGGAAUUCCCGGUGUAGUGGUGAAAUGCGUAGAUAUCGGGAGGAACACCAGUGGCGAAGGCGACUUCCUGGCCUGUUCUUGACGCUGAGGCGCGAAAGCUAGGGGAGCAAACGGG